GACGAACGCUGGCGGCGUGCUUAACACAUGCAAGUCGAACGGAAAGGCCCUGCUUUUGUGGGGUGCUCUAGUGGCGAACGGGUGAGUAACACGUGAGUAACCUGCCCUUGACUUUGGGAUAACUUCAGGAAACUGGGGCUAAUACCGGAUAGGAGCUCCUGCUGCAUGGUGGGGGUUGGAAAGUUUCGGCGGUUGGGGAUGGACUCGCGGCUUAUCAGCUUGUUGGUGGGGUAGUGGCUUACCAAGGCUUUGACGGGUAGCCGGCCUGAGAGGGUGACCGGCCACAUUGGGACUGAGAUACGGCCCAGACUCCUACGGGAGGCAGCGGUGGGGAAUAUUGCACAAUGGGCGGAAGCCUGAUGCAGCAACGCCGCGUGCGGGAUGACGGCCUUCGGGUUGUAAACCGCUUUCGCCUGUGACGAAGCGUGAGUGACGGUAAUGGGUAAAGAAGCACCGGCUAACUACGUG
This 468-nucleotide ribosomal RNA is filed under the name uncultured bacterium. RNAcentral's name for it is "partial 16S ribosomal RNA". It matches the Rfam family "Bacterial small subunit ribosomal RNA", at positions 28 to 507 of the family's 1533-position model. The record is from RNAcentral.